UAACACCAAGAUAAUAAUAUAAAGUAAAACAACUCGAAAGGUAUACAUAAUAAGUUUAGAACAACUUCUAUGCAAAGCAUCCCAAGAUGUAAAGUCACGAGUAUAUGAGCUUCUAGAGUUUACUACAUACACUAUUUUGAAAGAAAUACAAUACUAUUUGAAAAGUAGAAGUACAAUAGAAAUAGGAAGGUGAUUCUAAAGCCUGCAAAAGGAAUAUAGCUCUAUCUUGAGUCACCCAUUUCGUAUCCGCUAAGCACCUUUGGGACAUCAUUGGUACCAAGAUUUGGAUCUGCACGAGAAGUGUAGAAUUGUAGUAUGAGUACACCCGAUCCAGUGUAUUCAAUAAGUGUAGAAUUGUAGUAUGAGUACACCCGAUCCAAUGUACUCAGUAAGUAUUGAGCUUAACCUUGACGAGGUAGUGACUAGGCCAAGAUAAGACACCUACAAUAAACAUGUAUAUAUCAAAAAAUAACGAGAUAAUGGAUAAAGUAUAAAAUAUAGCAACGAAAUAAGGACAUGUGAAAGGGAUAACAAGUACAAAAGUAAAGGGACAAUAAACCAAAACAUAAAGUAAAAGUGAAUAAAGAAGCCACAAAGCCAAGUUCACGUUCCAAAUAUUAAAGUAAGCUCAAUGAAAUCAACAAGAUUGUACGACAUCACCCUUCGUGUUUUUACUCUCAUCCUUAUAUCAUAAAAUAAAAACAAGCACAGAAAAACCCUUUGGGCAUAUUCUCACAUUCACUUGGGCACAGAAGCAGCCUCCGUGUAAUAAUAUCAAUAUAUAAAUAAGGCAUUGAAACAUCUCUCGUGCACAAUCAUUCUUCCUUACAAACACGACAAUAUUCUUCGUACAUUUCACUCUUCCUCACAAGCAUGGCAACACUCUUCGUGCAUUUCACUCUUCCUCACCAAACAUCAUAUACAACACAAUACCAAGCAAUGUGGGGAGCAAAUUCCACAUCAACAAUAGUAUUUUAACAUAACUUGUCAUAUGAGAAUCUUCCAACAAUUAGCACCGACAACCAAUCAACAAUUCAACAAUCUCAUAUCAAUAUCUCAAAAUCUUAACAUAAAAAAUAACAUGAAUACGAGAAAUUAAAGAAUUAAAUAAUCUAUCUAAAGCAUGGGAAGCAUAACACACAAAGUAGCACGGCACAAGUAAGACUAAUUCUACCCGCAUGCUUUUCCCAUGGCCAAUGCAUAUACAUUUGUCACCUUGUAUAUAUGCUUCCCCUGACACAUAGAUCACAUAGCAGAUAGACUCGAUUCUACUUUAUUUCCCUCAAAUGAAGGUUAACCAAGAUACUUAUCAAUUUUCGGAACACAAUCAACAAUCCAACACGAUUUUUCCUUUAGAACAAGCCUCCAAACCACAUGUAUCUAGUCAACUGUUGUUCAAUCAAGUCAAACAAGAUUUAGGAACUACCCUCGAAUAAAAAGGUUCAAUAUGUAACAUUAUUGAAAAGGUCAAAAAAAAUCGACCUAGGUAGACGUGGUCGAAAUUUGAAAUUAAUAACACAUACUGAUUACUCAUUCACCUCCGAGUCUGAAUAUGCAGUUAAUUUCGGAAUCCGAUUUCAAUUUGAGGUCUAAAUAUCAAUUUUAUAAAAUCCAUAAAUUUUACCCAAAUUUUCCAAUUUCGAAUUUGAAAUUCUUAAAUUUGAGGAUGAAAUUUAUGAGAAAGUAAUUGAAAUUGAAUAAAAACAAGUCAAGAUUACUAACCUAUGAAUUUGGGAAAAAAUUGCUCUCCAAAAAUCGCAUCUUUGGAGUCUAGGUCUCAAAAAUAGUGUAAAAUGAGUUAAGUCCCAAAAUUCUCACAUUUUACCUAGCUAUAGAUAUUGUAAUUGUGAAUCCUAUACACAAUUGCGACGUCUGCAUAUGCGAACAAUUAUAUGCAAAUGCGAACAACUAUCUACAAAUGCGAAUAAUGUCUGAGCCAUUCAAUUAUUGUGAAUGCGUCAAAACCUUCGCAUUUGCGAAGGUCUCCUUCCUCGUAAAAGUGAAUCAAGAUUCGCAUUUGCGAAGCUGCCCAAACAAUGUCCAGGUCACAAUUAAAAAUGCAAUGACCCCUUUCCGCAAAUGCAACGUAGAUUUCGCAUAAGUGAAUUGUCCAAACCUUAGCCCAUCUUCAAAAAUGCGAGCAAGCGAUGCUCGCAUUUGCAAGCAGAACCUCACAAAUGAGAGAUCUGUAAGCACCAACAUAGCCUUCCUUCAUCUGUUCCAAACCAUCCACUACGUAUUUGAAACUCACUUGAGCCAUUCGGGCUCCAAUACAAACAUCCCCAAAAGUGUAAUAACAUCAUACAAACUCUCUAGCAUAUUCAAACCAUUAAAAUUACUUCUAAACUCAUGUAUUAAUCACUAAAACUCAAGAUUUUUAAGCUGAAAAACUCAAAUUUUCCAUUUUUCCAUAUAAUGCGCUGAAACGGCCUCUGGUCACCUAGUACCCCAACCAAACGUGCAUUAGUUAGUUAUCGAGCCCGAUGAAGUAUCCCGCAUUUACACAGGGUUCGAUGAAGGGCCACAUCUUAAGGGGUGUGAUGUAGGUAGCCUACCCUGAUGCAAGCAUCAAUGGCUGAUUCCACUGCUUGAACCUGUGACAUAUAGGUCACACAGAGACAACUUUAUCAUUGCUCUAACCAAACAUGCGUACAAGUCAAAAAUCAUCAUACGAACCUACCAGAAUCGCCAAAAUACCGAAAUGAGGUCGUUUACUAAAAACGUUUACGUGGUCAUCUUUACUCAUUUUUAAAGUUACAAAUCACCUUUUCUUUAAAAUUUCACAUAUAAACUUCUCGAAAAUCGACACAUACCGCACAUGCAAGUCAUAAAUCAUCAAAUUGAGUUAUGAAAAGUCUCGAAACAUAGAAAAGGGAGCUAGUACUUAAAAUGACCUACUGGGUCGUUACAUUCUCCAUCUCUAAAAGAAAAGUUCGUCCUCAAACGGAUAUAGAGAUGUAGCUGGACUACCAAAAAUGUGUGGGUAGCUACUACUCAUAUUGGACUAGAAAUCCCAAGUAGACUCCUUAACCGGCUCACCUCUCCAAUGCACUUUCACAGAAGGAAUGCCUUUAGAUCUCAACUUUAGAACCUGCCAAUAAAGAAUAGCCACCGUCUCUUCCUUGUAGGUCAAUUUCUCAUCAAGUUGCAUCAUGCUGGAGUUUAAAACAUGUGACAUAUCUUCAUGGUACUUUCGAAGCAUGAAAACGUGAAAUACUGAAUGUACCCCUGCUAGGUGAGGAGGCGAUGCAAGCCUAUAAGCAACCUCCCCAACUUUCUCCAAGAUCUCAAACGGGCCAAUAAACCUCGGGUACAACUUGCCCUUCUUCCAAAAUCGCAGCACGCCUUUCAUCGGCUAUACUCGAAAAAGAACCUUCUCACCUACCAUGUAAGCCACAUCUCAAACCUUCUGGUCCGCAUACUUUUUUUCCUGGACUGAGUUGUACGAAGCCGCUCCUGAAUAACUUUCACCUUUUCCAAAGCAUCACAAACAAAAUUUGUGCCCAAAAAACUAGCCUCGCCAGUCUCAAACUAUCCAACUGGAGAAUGAAAUCAACUCCUAUAUAAGUCCUCGCACAAAGCCAUCUGGAUGCUUGACUGACAGAUAUUGUUGUAGGCGAAUUCUGCUUGAGGUGAAAACUAGUCCCACUAACGCCAAAGUCCAUAAAGCAUUCCCGCAACAUAUCCUCCAAAAUCUUAAAAGUAUGCGCACUCCGACUGUCCGCCAGUCUGAGGAUGAAAUGCGGUACUCAGCUCGACCAGUAUGCCCAACUCAUGCUGCACAACUCUCUAAAAGUGUGAUGUGAAUUGCAUGCCACGAUCUAAAAUAAUAUAAAUAGGCACACCGUACAAGCGGAUAAUCUUUUGGAUGCAAAUAUGAGCCAAUUUCUUUGAAGAAUAAGAUGUCAUCACCAGAAUAAAGUGUGCGGACUUAGUCAAUCCGUCCACAAUAACCCAAACAACAUCAUACUUUCUCAAGGUCCGUGGUAAGCCUACCAUUAAGUUCAAAGUGAUGCGCUCUCAUUUACACUCUGGUAUCACCAACUUUUGAGUCAGACCCCCUAGUUUAUGAUAUUCAUACUUCACCUAUUGAUGGCUCAAACGCCGAAAGACAUGCCAAACAAUGUCUUUCUUCAUCUUUCACCACCAAUAGUACUGCUUCAAGUCCUGAUGCAUCUUCGUGACACCUAGGGUGAAUUGAAUACCACGAACUCUGAGCCUUCUCAAGGAUCAACUCACUUAACCCAUAAACAUUCAAAACACAUAUCAACCUUGAAGCGGCAUAACACUCCAACCACAAUCUCAUUGGAACCACCUUGCUGCACCAUGUUUUUCAACACCAACAAGUGAGUAUUAUCAAACUGGCGAGCCUUGAUACGCUCCAACAAAGAUGACUAGGCCAAAACACAAUCAAGAACCCUACUAGGCUCUAAAAUAUCCAAUCUUACGAACCAGUUAGCCAAAGCUUGAACAUACGUGUCUAAUAGCCUCUCCCCUGCUAGUAUAAAUGUCAAACUGCCUAUGCUCUCCGCCUACUCAAGGCAUCGACCACCACGGUGGCCUUUUUCGGAUGAUAUACUAUGGUUAUAUCAUAAUCUUCAAAUAGCUCUAACCAUAUCCGCUACCUCAAAUUAGAAUCCUUCUGUUUGCAUAAAUGCUAGAUAAUUCGAUGGUUGGUGUAGACUUUGGUUGGAAUACCGUGUAGAUAGUGCCUCCAAUUCUUGAGGGAGUGGAAAAUGAAUUCAAACUAUAAAUCAUGCAUAGGGUAGUUCUUCUCAUGGACCUUUAUAUAAUGAUAUGCGUAGGCAAUCACUUUACACCAUGCAUUAAUACCGCGCCAAGUCCAAUAUGCAAUGCAUCACAAUAUAUAGUGUAAGAUCCUGAACCUGUGAGCAAUACCAACACUGGAGAUAUAGUCAAGGCAGUCUUGAACUUUUGAAAAGCUCUCCUCACACUCGCUGGACCAUCUAAAAAGAUCACCCUUAUGCGUCAACUUGGUCAAUGGGUCUUAAAUAGGCGAAACCCCUCCACGAACCAAAAAUAGUAGCCCGCCAAAGCCACAGAGCUCUGAAUCUCUAUUGAUGAAGUAAUUUAGGGUCCACCUUGAUACCUAUGAAAGACACAACAUGACCUAAAAAGGAAAUUGAGUCUAACCAUAACUCACAGUUCUAAAACUUGGCAUAUAACUGAUGAUCCUUAAAGGUCAGAAGUACAAUUUGUAGUUGCUGCACAUGAUUCUCUCUACUUUGAGAGUAAUCCAGAAUAUCAUCAAUGAAGACAAUCACGAAGGGAUCUAGAUAAGGCUUGAACACCCGGUCCAUCAAAUCCAUAAAGGUUGCUGGAGCAUCAUUCAAGCCAAAUGAUAUCACCAAGAACUCGUAGUAACCACAUAGUCCCAAAAGUUGUCUUAUGGACAUUCAAUGCCCUAAUUUUCACAUGAUAGUAGCCAGAUCUGAAAUCAAUCUUGGAAAAUACCUUGUCGCCCUGAAGCUAGUCAAAUAAAUCAUCGAUCCUAGGUAAAAAAUACAUGUUCUUGAUAGUGACCUUGUUCAACUAUCAAUAAUCCAUGUACAUCCUCAUUGAUUUGAACUUCUUUUUAACAAAUAACAUCGUUGCACACUAAGGUGAAAUACUCAGUUUAAUAAACCAUUUGUCAAGCAAAUUGUACUGAUUCUUCAAUUUUUUCAACUCAACUGAAGCCAUACAAUAUGGUGGAAUAGAAAUAUGCUGUAUGCCGAAAAUAAAUCAAUGCAAAAGUUGAGCCACCCCAACUAGUAGAGCUGAUGUAGUGUGAUAACCAGGAGCCAUCCGCUCUAGAUUGUAACUAUCAGUGUCUGAGCUCCUCUCCCGCCUGAGAAAUAGCUAGUUCCACAUGUGACACACUAUCCUGAGCUAUACUUUCCAUGAGACUAACCAUCCAGACUAAGGCAUCCUGAUGCACUAGUUAGAGAUGAACCCCUUUGGGACCUAAGCUGGUCCCACUAGCUCUGUAAAAAUAUGGAUCUCAUCAUCCUGCUCUAUUUGAUGCUCGGCAAAGGGUGCCCUUGCACGCACUAUAAGUUCAACUCUGCCUCUACCUUUAGCUAUACCUCAACCCCUACUCCUACCCCUAGUAGUGGCUCCAAACUAGGGCUGUGGAUCUUAAUCAGCUGCGGAUGACGUAUGCGUCCUCGUCAUAUAUGAGAGUAAGAAAAGAAUGAUUUAAAAUUAAUGAUAGAAUACAGUCGCUCGAUAGAGAAAGAAAUACUGAUAUUCCCUAAAUCUUUAUAGCCUCUAGAAGAUAAAUGCAUAUAUCUCGGUACCGAUCCUUAAGACUCCACUAAGUUUUCUCAUGAAAUUUCAGACAUAUGUAAUCUAGGGUUGUGAUAAAAACUUAUCACGACCCAAAAUCUCAACCAGUCAGUUGUGAUGGCGCCUAAAACCGUUUUCUAGGCAAACUAACAUAUAACAGAUAGUACGAAAUGAAUUGCAAUUUACGACUAACAGCAAGAUAACAACAUAAAGUAAAAGUAAAUAGAACUAUAUACAUAGUUAGUCUAGAACUAAUAUCUACGCAAAUCAUCCCAAGAUGUGGAGUUACAAGUACAUGAGCUUCUAGAGUUUACUACAUAUACUAUUUUGAAAUAAUUACAAUACUAUCUGAAAAAUGCAAUAACCGAUUGGUCUUUUUGAGCAUUUCCAUUUCAUUAGAUGAUUUAAUGUCUUGAGUGGGUUCAUAUGAUUUAAUAUGGAUACAUGUAUGGUUAGUUUUAGUUGUUGCCCGUUUCGGUAUUUGAUUUGGAAGAAUGAUUUUCAAUUAAGAGGCUUUAGUGUUAAAAGGGUUAAACAAGUUAGACUUUCAUGUGUUUGACCUUGGAUUGGAGUUUUGAUAGUUCCACUGCUUCGUAUGGUAAUUUUGGACUUAAGCGUAUGCUCGGAAUUGUAUUAGGAGGUUCUUAGAUUGAUUUGGCUAUUUGUUUUAUGAAAGUCGACAAUUUGAAGGUUAGAAAUUUCUUAAAAUUUACCAUGGGUUGACUUUGUGGCUACCAGGUUUAGAUUUUGGCUUUAGGAUUUGAAAUGUUUGUUUUUUCAUUUGUGACUCGUGUACAAAUUUGGUGUCAUUUUGAAUUGGUUGGUAAGGAUCAGAUUCUUUUGUAAUUAUAGUGCUUCUUGAGUUUCAUUAUGACUUCUAUUUGCUUUGGGGUUCGAUUUGUGGUUUCUUAUGUUAUUUUGGUGUUUUGAUCUUACGAGAAAGUUUAUAUGAUGUUUAUGUACUUCUGUGGAUGUUUGGUGUAGAGACCUAGGGGGAUGGGGUGAGCUUCAGAUGUGUUCUACAGUAUUUUGUGUGAGGUUCAGUUUUGCUAGUGCUGGGUUGAUGUUGUAGGUAUCAAAAAUGCGAGAUCAUGUCCGCAUUUACGAGGAGGGAAUCACAUUUGUAAGGUGGUCUGGGGGGCUCGAUAGUUCGCAUUUGCGAACACUUUGAUUGCAUUUGCGAUGAACAUUUGGGCUAGGGCUAAUCGCAUUUGCGAUCAAACUAUCGCUUCUGCAAAGGAGUCCGUGUUCGCUUUUGCUAGAUGUGUUUUCUUUUGCGAUGGGCCAUUGGAGGGAGAAACUUCGCAUUUUUGAAGUAUAUUAUCGCAAAUGCAACAUUUGCAGGGACUGUUAGCGGCCGCUUUUGCGAACCUUCGUUCGCUUUUGUUAAGGUCGCAUUUGCGAACCCCUGGUUGCAUUUGCAAUUACGGCUGGAAUUUCAGAAUUAGUAUCAUUUUAUCACAUUUUUGAGCUCUAGACUUGGUAGGAUAUGACUUUUGGAGAAAAUUUUCAUACAAAGCUAUUGGGUAAGUGAUUUUGACUCACUUUUGAUAUUAUAACAUGUUAAUUAUGAAUUUUAAAAUCUAAUCCAUGAGAUUUAAAGGAAACUUUUAUGGAUUUUUUACUAUGUUUUGAAAAAUAAAAAUUUGGGAUUUAAGAUUCGAUUUGGAUUUUAAACCAAAUACAUAUUUGGACUCGUAGGGUUAUGAGUAGUCAAGAUCUACCAUUUGACUCAGGUUUUGACGGGAUGAGCUAGGGAUUGACUUAUGUUGACUUUUGGAGAAUGUUUAUAGAUCUUAACUUUAUUAAUCGAAUUUGGUUUCUCUUACAUUGUUUGAUAUUAUUAAGUCAUUUUUGGAUAGAUUCGAGCCGAGAUGGUUUCUAAAGGAAAAUCAAUUUUAGAUUUUUUAUUGAGGACUUUUGAAGUAAGUGUCUUGUCUAAUCUUGUGUGAGGAAAUUACCCCUUAGUAUUUGUCUUAAUUGGUUAUUUAUGAUAUGUGUGAUCGAUCUGUACACAAGGUGAGCAGUGUGUACAUGGUCAUAUGUGUGAUUUAUGACCGUAUUUGACCCGAGGUUGCUCUUAUCACUUUGCUUUGAUUGAAAUGCGUAUGCUUUACAUGUAUUCAUUUUGAAUGAUUACUUGAGUUUGUGUUCCAAGUUAGGGAUCAUGCUAUAGGAUUGUAUUUCUAAAUUGGUUAAGCUGGACAUGUUAGAUUGUCACUUAUUUGAGUUAGUUUUUAUGCUUAUAUGUUGAACACCUAUGUGCAUUUUUAUUUAUUUAUUUGUCCUUGUGCACUACGUUGGCCGAUUGUGAGUUUAUGUCUUGAUGAUAAUUGUUGGCAUGUUUUAUUGUUAUGAUUAUGGCAUAUGUGGACUUGUUGGGAGUAUUGAUCAGAUAUUUGCACGAGGUUUUUGUCGUGCUAUUAUUAUUGUUGCUAUUGUAUGCAAUGAGACAAGUUGGGCUAUAUAUAUAGGAUUGCGCACAUGACGAGAUAAGAUGGGAUAAUUUUUAAUACGUAUGUGGUGAGACAAAGGAGGCAUUUACUUUAUUGUUUCUCAUACAAUGAGAUAAUAGUGGAGAUGUGGGGAUGAUAUGCAAUGGUCCAGGGGUGUUUUAUUGGUAAUGUGUGUGUGGUGAAAAAAGAAUAUUCUUGUUUGUGCUUAUGAAUUCUUUGUGUGUGUCAUGAAUGUUUACGUGAUUUGUUGGUUAGUUUCCAAUGUGCUUAUCUGCGUCUUUGUUAUUGCUUGAUGAUUUGAUUGCCAAUAUGCAUUUUUCUACAUGGAGUUGCGAUCUUAUAUUCUAUUGAGUUGUUGAUAACAUAACGGAUUCAAGUAAAAAAUUAAAGUCGUUAUCAUGAUUUACUUUAUUUGGUUCUUGAUAAAUUCCAGUGAAUAUGGUAUUAGUAACUGACAGGAGUGCAAUAUAUGUGGUGACAUGAGUUUUUUAUCGGACGAGUGUGACUUAUAUCGUGGCACGAGGACUUUUCCAUGCGAGUGUGACUUAUGUGGUGUCAAGAAGUAUUAGUCGUGCGAGGGUGAUUGAUAAUGUGUGCACGAGGUUCCAUACAUGUGUGAUUCUAUUUGAUGACUCCUUGUCGAAACUGGACCUUUAUUUAUUCUAAAUUUUUAUCACUUGUAUUGAAAAGAUUACAGUUAUCACUUUUGUGAUUACAUUACUCCAUCGAGGUUAGUCUUGAUACUUACUGUGUAUUAACUGUGGUAUACUCAUACUAUACUUCUGCACCUUUUCGUACAGAUCCAGAUACUUCAGAUUAUGUUAGCUAUUAGAGAGUUGUGCCCGUGCGGUUGGAGCCUUCAAUGUAUACAUGUUGUUCCGUUUCAUAAGCCUUGAAGUCUCCAUCUUUCUUCUUUCAUGCUAUUUUUUAAUUGUAUCCCAAAAAGUGUUGUAUUUUGAGAUUUUAUUGUACUAUCUGUAUAGCUUAUGACUUAGUAUUAUCGAAUUUUGAGAUUUAUGUGAUUGUUGUAUUCCGCUUUUGGUCAUUAUGGUACUUUUCCAUUUUCGUUAAUAUUUGAGUUAGUGUUUGGUUCUGUUAAAUCUUACUAUGUAAUAGGCUUACUUAGUCUUAGGAAUUAGGUGUCAUCACGAUCCUUAACGUUAAAUUUUGAGUCAUGACAGAAAAGUAGAAUAGUACAACAGAAAUAGGAAGGUGACUUCAAGGCCUGCGAUUGAAAUAUAACUCUACCUCUAAUCACCCGUCUGAUAUCUGCUAAGCACAUUUUAGGACUCCGUUGGUACCAAGAUCCGGAUCUACAAACAAAUGUAGAAGUAUGGUAAGAGUACAAACGACUCAAUAUACUCAAAAAAAUAUCGGACCUAACCCCCAACGAGGUAGUGACAAGAUUAAGACAAAAUACCUACAAUAAAUAUAUACAAUUAUAUAUCAAAAAGUAACGAUAUAAUAGAUAAAAUAUCAUUUAUAACAACGUGAUAAGGGCAUGUGAAAGGGAUAACAAGUACACAAGUAAAGAGAUAAUAAAUGGAAACAUAUUUUAAAGUGUCACUGAGUAAACUUCUUUCAAAAGUAAAUAAUGAAGCCAAAAAGCUAAGUCCACAUUUCGAAUAUUGAAGUAAGAGUAAUGAAAUUAAUAAACUGUACGGCAUCACCCUUCAUGUAUUUACUUUCAUCAUACAUCAUAAUAUAAAAACAAGCAUGAAAACAUCCUAUGUGCAUAUCCUCACGUUCACUUAGGCACGAAAGUACACUUCAUGUAAUAUUAUCAGUAUAUAAAUAAGGCACAAAAUAUCUUUCGUGCAUAAUCACUUUUCCUCACAAUUACAUCAACACCCUUCAUGCAUUUCACUCUUCCUCACAAGUACGACAAUACCCUUUGUACAUUUUGCUCUUCCUCACCAAACAUCACAUACAAUACGAUACCAACCAAGGAAAACAAAUUCAAUAUCAACAAUGGUAUUUGAACACAAUUCGUCAUAUGAGAAUUUUCUAAUAAUUAGCACCAACAACCAAUCAACACUUCAAUGAUAUCAACAUCAAUAUCUCAGUAUAGAAAAUAACAUGAAUACAAAAAAUUAUAGAAUUAAACAAUUUGUCUAAAGCAUGGGAAACAUAAAACACAAAGUAUCAUGGAACAAGUAAGACUAAUUAAUGCUACCUGCAUGCUUAUCCCAUGGACAACACAUAUACGUCUGUCACCUUGUAUAUACGCCACCCCCAAUACAUAAAUCACAUAAAAAAUAGACUCGAUUCUACCUUAUUUUCCUCAAAUUAAGUUUAAAUAAGACACUUAUCUCUUUUCGGAUCACAGUUAACAAUCCAACACGGAUAUUUUUAAGACAAGACUUCAAAGCAACCGUACCUAGUCAAUUAUUGUUCAAAUAGGUCAAAAUAAGCUUUAGAAACUACCCUCGGAUAAAAAAAAAAUCAAUCUUUGAUAUAAUUAAAAAAGUCAACAAAAAAGUCAAUACGGGCCCACGUGGUUCAAAAUUCAAAAUUAACACCUAACACGAUUACCCAUUCAUCCCGAGCCCGAAUAUAUGAUUUAUUUCAAAAUCCAACCUCAAUUUGAGGUCUAAAUCUCAAUUUUACAAAAUCCUAAAUUUCACCAAAAAUCUCCAAUUUCUACUUUGAAAUUCUCAGAUUUGAUAGUGAAAUUCAUGAAAAAGUAAUUGAAAUUUAACAAAAAUAAGUUAAGAUUACUAAUAUAUGAAUUUGGGAAUAAAUUUAUCUCCAAAACUCCCCUUUAUGGAGUCUAGGUAUCAAAAAUAGUAUAAAAUAAGUUAAAUUUCGAAAUUCCCAUAUUUUACCUAGCUACAAAUAUCGCAAUUACGAAGUCUUGUCCGCAAUCGCAAUGUUUGCAAAUGCGAAUCACUAUUCGCAAAAGCGAAUAAUGUCUUAACCAUUCAAGUAUCGCAAUUAUGAAGUAUUGUCCUUAAUUGCAAUGUCCACAAAUGCGAGUAAGUGUUCGCAAAAGAGACAAAACCUUCGCAUUAGCGAAGGUCGUCUCCCUCGCAAAAGGUGAACCAAGCUUAGCAUUUGCAAAGCUGCCCAAACAAAGCCUAGUGCCACAAACGCGAUACUACAGUCGCAAAUGCAAUGAAUCCCCAUCCGUAAAGGCAAUGCAGUCUUCGCAAAAGCGAAGUGCCCAAACCUUAGCCCAUCUUCACAAAUACGAGUCAUCCCUCGCAAAAGCGAUGCUUGCAUAUGCGAGAUGUGCAUGCUAACAACACCAGCUCUCCUUAAGUUGUCCCAAACCAUCCGCAAUGCAUCCGAAACUUACCCAAGCCCCUCGGGCUCCAAUCCGGACAUUCACACAACUGUAAUAAUAUUAUACAAACUCAGUCACAAGCUCAAAUCAUUAAAAUAACAUCUAAAUUCAAAAAUCAAUCACUAAAACUCAGGAUUUUCAAGUUCAGAACUUAAUUUUUCAAAUUUUACAUAAUGCACCGAAACAACCUCGGGUCACCUGGGAUCCCAAACCAAUAUGUGUACAAGCCCAAAAUUUUUUACGAACCUACCUGAAUUGUCAAAAUACUGAACCGAGGUCAUUACUAAAAAUGUUGAUCGUAGUCAACUAUAGUCAUUUUUAAAGUCGAAAAAUCACAUUUUCUUUCAAAAUUUUACUUAUAAACUUUUCAGAAGUCGACACAGGCCACAUACGCAAGUCAUAAAUCAUUAAAUUUAAGUUAUGAAAAGUCUCGAAAUAAAAAAAGAAAAGAAAAUAGUACUCAAAAUGACCUAUUGUGUCGAUAAUACACUAUAUCGAUAACUCUAUCCUGUGAUGUGAUGCCCUACGAAUAUGUUCAAAUCUGGAAAACCUCCACCGUACAUAGGAUAAGAUAAUCUGGUGCUGAAUGCCAGGACAUGAGUCAGUAAGUAUAAUCAAGUUGUUGAAAUUUGAUUGAAAAUUUAGGAGAGGAUGAUGGAUGAUGUCGUACCUCCUCGAGGAAAGAGGUAUUUAUCCAUGCUAAUAAAUGAGCACCAAAUCUUCGAAGUUAGAAGCAGUGCUGUGAAAUUAUUUUAAGAUAUGGUUCCAUGAUUGGCGCCUAAUUUGAGGCAACGUGUACUUGAAACUUUAAGUUUUGCUAUUGAGUAUGCUUGAAACAGAUAAACUAAUUUAAUCUGAACGGUUAGACGUCAAGAUUUGGAUUUAAUGUAGUUAUAAAUGAUUUUAUGAAAAUAUGAACCUAAAAUGUCUCAUCCAAUAAAGCAUAAGUUAUAUUACGCAUGGUAGACUUCCCUUUAAGAGGAUUUAUAAUUGAUGGUCAGAGGGAGCAGGAAGAGUCACUCAAAUUACCUUGUGUUAAAAACAAAUGAACUGGCUCUUUAUAUGUUUGUUUAUCUAUUUACAGAAUGAAAAGUGAAAACCAAAUACAUCACCUUUAAAUCAGUAGAUGUUUGUUUAUCACUUUACCUGUUUAAAGGAAGUGGUGCAUACGCCGCCUUGGAUUUUAAUUCCGCUAAGAUCAUUUGGCUAAAGCCAAUGGUACAAGAUUUGCUUUUCUCUCAACUUUUUAAAAAUUAGAAAAAGUGACUUUAUA
This 13309-nucleotide long non-coding RNA is filed under the name Nicotiana benthamiana. RNAcentral's name for it is "long non-coding RNA (NBEN_LNC021783)". The record is from RNAcentral. Lineage: Eukaryota; Viridiplantae; Streptophyta; Magnoliopsida; Solanales; Solanaceae.